CAGUCGAGCGGGACAGAUGGGAGCUUGCUCCCUGAUGUUAGCGGCGGACGGGUGAGUGAACACGUGGGUAACCUGCCUGUAAGACUGGGAUAACUCCGGGAAACCGGGGCUAAUACCGGAUGGUUGUUUGAACCGCAUGGUUCAAACAUAAAAGGUGGCUUCGGCUACCACUUACAGAUGGACCCGCGGCGCAUUAGCUAGUUGGUGAGGUAACGGCUCACCAAGGCAACGAUGCGUAGCCGACCUGAGAGGGUGAUCGGCCACACUGGGACUGAGACACGGCCCAGACUCCUACGGGAGGCAGCAGUAGGGAAUCUUCCGCAAUGGACGAAAGUCUGACGGAGCAACGCCGCGUGAGUGAUGAAGGUUUUCGGAUCGUAAAGCUCUGUUGUUAGGGAAGAACAAGUACCGUUCGAAUAGGGCGGUACCUUGACGGUACCUAACCAGAAAGCCACGGCUAACUACGUGCCAGCAGCCGCGGUAAUACGUAGGUGGCAAGCGUUGUCCGGAAUUAUUGGGCGUAAAGGGCUCGCAGGCGGUUUCUUAAGUCUGAUGUGAAAGCCCCCGGCUCAACCGGGGAGGGUCAUUGGAAACUGGGGAACUUGAGUGCAGAAGAGGAGAGUGGAAUUCCACGUGUAGCGGUGAAAUGCGUAGAGAUGUGGAGGAACACCAGUGGCGAAGGCGACUCUCUGGUCUGUAACUGACGCUGAGGAGCGAAAGCGUGGGGAGCGAACAGGAUUAGA
RNAcentral lists this ribosomal RNA (743 nucleotides) under Bacillus spizizenii ATCC 6633 = JCM 2499. RNAcentral describes it as "bacterial SSU rRNA". It matches the Rfam family "Bacterial small subunit ribosomal RNA", at positions 59 to 782 of the family's 1533-position model. The record is from RNAcentral. Lineage: Bacteria; Bacillati; Bacillota; Bacilli; Caryophanales; Bacillaceae.